RNAcentral lists this ribosomal RNA (197 nucleotides) under uncultured bacterium. RNAcentral's name for it is "partial 16S ribosomal RNA". It matches the Rfam family "Bacterial small subunit ribosomal RNA", at positions 328 to 539 of the family's 1533-position model. The record is from RNAcentral.
ACGCUCGACACCUACGGGGGCAGCAGUGGGGAAUAUUGCACAAUGGGGGAAACCCUGAUGCAGCGACGCCGCGUGGAGGAAGAAGGUCUUCGGAUUGUAAACUCCUGUUGUUGGGGAAAAAGAGGAUGGUACCCAACAAGGAAGUGACGGCUAACUACGUGCCCGCAGCCGCGGUAAUCUGAGCGGGCUGGCAAGGC